Molecule: long non-coding RNA, 1055 nt
Filed under: Gouania willdenowi (blunt-snouted clingfish)
Lineage: Eukaryota; Metazoa; Chordata; Actinopteri; Blenniiformes; Gobiesocidae
Description: lncRNA (ENSGWIG00000023024.1)
Source: RNAcentral
AGGGUGAUCUGGGGCGCCGUGGGGGGCUAGGUUGGGGUGCCUGGGGGCCGGCGGGGAGACUCCCAGCGGCCCCCUGGUGCCUUAUGCGGCUUGGGGUGUGGUCGUCCUCCCUGGGCGGGCUGCUCCUGGUGCUGCAUCCGUUCCGGGUCCUUCUGGCCUGGGGUCGGGCCCCUGCUGGCUCUGGGCUCGCCGGCGGGUGCCCACUGGCUGCCUGUUCGGCGCGGUUCUGGUCGUCUGCUGGGUGUGGGCUUCGGCUCCUCCGCUGGGGCCUCGGGCAGGGAGUUCUCUGGGCCCUCCCCUCGGGGGGUUAGGCGCGGGGGUGGGGUGGGGGGGUGGGGGGGUCGAUGGGGUGGGGGGUCUGGGGGUUGGGGGUGGGAUCGGUGGCGUGGUGCGCUGGGUCCUUGGCUCCUUGGGGCUUUCUCGGGUGUGUAUGGGGGGGCGAUGGCUGCCUCUCGGCUUGGGAUCUUGGGGGCGUUCGGGGGACUGCUUGGCCGUGGGGUGGUCGCCGGGGGCCCUUAGGCUGCCUGCUCUUGCUGCUGGCCUGACUGCUUCUUCGGGCCCGGGGGCGGCUCUUGGGUUUUGCAGUGGCGGUACUUGGAAAUACAUUUGUCAUGGAUGCACUGGCCUUGGGCUGUGGGAUAACACUCAUACUGGGCUCAACCUUAGACACGUUGUUCCCAAAUACCUGUUUUAUGGAAUUUCCACUCACCUCUUCCUCUGUUCACAGCCACCACCAUUAUUCCUAAACCACACACUGGUCACCAAACUGGCUUGACAACACAACAAUAAACACAAUAUACACAACCACAAUUUCACAUCGCAUCACUUAAAACUAUUCCUCACCCAUUCCAUAUCCUAUCUUGUAUCCCUCUUCCCUGCUAACUUCCCCACCCCCCUCCAACCCCUCACCUUGGUGUAACACUGCCCUCUCUUUUUUACAUCCUCCCUUUAAUAAAGUAUUUCUUACCCUUCCCUAGGGAGGGCUGGUGACGGUCACAAUUAUGCAAUGAAAUAAAUAAAUUUAUUUAAUUGCAAUAAUAAAAUAUGCAUUGCUG